CUGCACAGGUGGUGCAUGGGGGUUGUCAGCUCGUGUCUUGAGAUGUUUGGUUAAGUUCCGCAACGAGCGCAACCCCUGUCCCUUGUUGCCAGCGCGUUAAGUCGGGGACUUUUGGGAGACCGCCGGUCCCAAACCGGAGGAAGGUGGGGAUGACGUCAAGUCAUCAUGGCCCCUAAGUCCAGGGGUACAAAACUGGUACAAUGGGUGGGUAAAAGGGGUACCAACCCAUGAGGGGGAGCGAAAUCCAAAAAAGCCGUUCCAAUUCGGAAUGGGGUU
This 276-nucleotide ribosomal RNA is filed under the name uncultured soil bacterium. RNAcentral's name for it is "partial 16S ribosomal RNA". It matches the Rfam family "Bacterial small subunit ribosomal RNA", at positions 1030 to 1305 of the family's 1533-position model. The record is from RNAcentral.